This 72-nucleotide transfer RNA is filed under the name Beta vulgaris subsp. vulgaris (sugar beet). It matches the Rfam family "tRNA". Rfam says of the family: Transfer RNA (tRNA) molecules are approximately 80 nucleotides in length. The record is from Rfam by way of RNAcentral. Lineage: Eukaryota; Viridiplantae; Streptophyta; Magnoliopsida; Caryophyllales; Amaranthaceae.
AUCCUCUUAGCUCAAAGGGGAGAGCGUUUGUUUCCUAAACAGAAGAUAUGGGUUCGAUUCCUGUAGGGGCCA